AAGUCGAGCGAACAGAUAAGGAGCUUGCUCCUUUGACGUUAGCGGCGGACGGGUGAGUAACACGUGGAUAACCUACCUAUAAGACUGGGAUAACUUCGGGAAACCGGAGCUAAUACCGGAUAACAUAUUGAACCGCAUGGUUCAAUAGUGAAAGGCGGCUUUGCUGUCACUUAUAGAUGGAUCCGCGCCGUAUUAGCUAGUUGGUAAGGUAACGGCUUACCAAGGCAACGAUACGUAGCCGACCUGAGAGGGUGAUCGGCCACACUGGAACUGAGACACGGUCCAGACUCCUACGGGAGGCAGCAGUAGGGAAUCUUCCGCAAUGGGCGAAAGCCUGACGGAGCAACGCCGCGUGAGUGAUGAAGGUCUUCGGAUCGUAAAACUCUGUUAUCAGGGAAGAACAAAUGUGUAAGUAACUGUGCACAUCUUGACGGUACCUGAUCAGAAAGCCACGGCUAACUACGUGCCAGCAGCCGCGGUAAUACGUAGGUGGCAAGCGUUAUCCGGAAUUAUUGGGCGUAAAGCGCGCGUAGGCGGUUUUUUAAGUCUGAUGUGAAAGCCCACGGCUCAACCGUGGAGGGUCAUUGGAAACUGGAAAACUUGAGUGCAGAAGAGGAAAGUGGAAUUCCAUGUGUAGCGGUGAAAUGCGCAGAGAUAUGGAGGAACACCAGUGGCGAAGGCGACUUUCGGUCUGUAACUGACGCUG
RNAcentral lists this ribosomal RNA (706 nucleotides) under Staphylococcus warneri. RNAcentral describes it as "bacterial SSU rRNA". It matches the Rfam family "Bacterial small subunit ribosomal RNA", at positions 59 to 748 of the family's 1533-position model. Lineage: Bacteria; Bacillati; Bacillota; Bacilli; Caryophanales; Staphylococcaceae. The record is from RNAcentral.